UCCUGGCUCAGAACGAACGCUGGCGGCGCGUUUUAAGCAUGCAAGUCGAACGGUAGAGUGGUUUUCGGACUGCUUGAGAGUGGCGAACGGGUGAGUAACACGUAGGUGAUCUACCUUGGGGUUGGGGAUAGCCCAUGGAAACAUGGGGUAAUACCCGCUAUUUCCUAUAUACUGUGGUGUAUAGGGAAAAGGCGCUUAGGCGCCGCCCUGGGAUGAGCCUGCGUUCCAUUAGUUAGUUGGUGAGGUAAGAGCUCAUCAAGGCGACGAUGGAUAGGCGGCCUGAGAGGGUGACCGCCCACACUGGGACUGAGACACGGCCCAGACUCCUACGGGAGGCAGCAGCUAAGAAUCUUCCGCAAUGGGCGCAAGCCUGACGGAGCGACGCCGCGUGGACGAAGAAGGCCGUGAGGUUGUAAAGUCCUUUUUUUGUUGAAGAAUAAUGGUGGUAGGGAAUGACCAUCAGAUGACGUCAUGCGAAGAAUAAGCCCCGGCUAAUUACGUGCCAGCAGCCGCGGUAACACGUAAGGGGCGAGCGUUGUUCGGAAUUAUUGGGCGUAAAGGGCGCGUAGGCGGUUAAGCAAGCCUGGUGUGAAAUACUCCAGCCUAACUGGAGGGGUGCGCUGGGAACUGUUUAACUUGAGUUCAGGAAGGGAAGCUGGAAUUCCAGGUGUAGGGGUGAAAUCUGUAGAUAUCUGGAAGAACACCGGAGGCGAAGGCGAGCUUCUAGCCAUGGACUGACGCUGAGGCGCGAAAGCGUGGGGAGCGAACAGGAUUAGAUACCCUGGUAGUCCACGCUGUAAACGAUGUGCACUGGGUGUUGGGACGAGAAGUCUCAGUGCCGUAGCAAACGCGAUAAGUGCACCGCCUGGGGAGUAUGCCCGCAAGGGUGAAACUCAAAGGAAUUGACGGGGGCCCGCACAAGCGGUGGAGCAUGUGGUUUAAUUCGAUGAUACGCGAGAAACCUUACCAGGGCUUGACAUAUGCGGGAAGUCAUCAGAGAUGAUGGUGCUUCUUCGGAAGCUCGCAUACAGGUGCUGCAUGGCUGUCGUCAGCUCGUGCUGUGAAGUGUUGGGUUAAGUCCCGCAACGAGCGCAACCCUUGCUGUCUGUUGCCAGCGCGUAAUGGCGGGGACUCAGACGGAACUGCCGGUGACAAACCGGAGGAAGGUGGGGACGACGUCAAGUCAUCAUGGCCCUUAUGUCCUGGGCUACACACGUGCUACAAUGGUCGGUACAGAGCGCAGCGAAACCGCGAGGUGGAGCAAAUCGCAGAAAACCGGUCUCAGUACAGAUUGAAGUCUGAAACCCGACUUCAUGAAGGUGGAAUCGCUAGUAAUCGCGCAUCAGCAUGGCGCGGUGAAUACGUUCCCGGGCCUUGUACACACCGCCCGUCACACCACCCGAGUUGGGGGUACCCGAAGUCACUCGUCUAACCGUAAGGGGGACGGUG
RNAcentral lists this ribosomal RNA (1449 nucleotides) under uncultured organism. RNAcentral's name for it is "bacterial SSU rRNA". It matches the Rfam family "Bacterial small subunit ribosomal RNA". The record is from RNAcentral.